AUUUUUAGUUUAUUAAUUUGUAAUUCAUGUUAUGCAAGAAUAUUGAAUAAUUGUCGGUAUUAUGACAAGGAUUGGUCUGCUUCGGCCACUUUACUAUUUACCAGGAACAGAUGAACUUCGUCAAGACGUCGAGGCAGAGGGCAGUUCUGACCCUAACACAAAUUACUCAACUGUCAAUGCAAACAAACUUUUUAUUCUGACUGGCUGUCCGAAGUCACAUGGGUUAGGUAGCGGAAAAAAUCUUAUUUGCCAAAAAAAUUCUUGUCAAAAUCUAGGUCUGUAGACAGAGAUUUUGGCAGAUUAAARAAGCAUUCAACACUGCUGCGGAUGUAAUUUUCGACUGCAUUACAUCAACAACGUCACAUAACAAUACGAUAUUGUUAGGUGAAGCAUGCUUSAUGAAAUACAUCACACAGACAAUUUCAUUCGCUUCUAGUUGAUCUGUGACGAUCAAAACAAACUAGUACAACGAAAAAAGUCAUUUUCGACGGUUUCUGUUCCCUUUUCGUUUCAAAUGAUUUUUUCUUUAAUUUCACUCUGAAAGGGUGUUUACAUAUUUUACUAUGCAUGAGCGAAUUUCGAAGCAAGGCAUGGCGGGAGUUUUGACGAUGUUGGCAGACGGGGGGAAGCACUCGGACUUCAACGUAAAUAUAUCCGUGAAAACCCCCUUGCUUCCUGCUGAAACUUAACAACUGAAAACUAGGGAUUCUGCAGACUGUUGAUAGGAUUACAAGGACUUUAAAUCGGUGGCUGGGAAGCGCAAAAGAUCAAACAUUAGGAUGGAAUAUAUGAAGUAGUUACCACUCUAGGUCAAUGUCUCAGGAGAAUAUAGUUUGACGCCAUGGGAUUAUUUGAUCACAACAAUGGAGACUUCUGGUUCGCCUCGAUCUCGUCUGCAAAUUACUUGUAUUUGCUAAUUUAUUUUGCUCCUAAAUUGAUAGUUUCCUUAUUUAASACUUGUUGUAUUAUCUACAAUAUUUGGUGGAUAUUAAUCUAUUGUCAUUCAUUUCACAAGUACAUUGUCGAAGGCAAAAUGGACUCGGAUAGUUAUCAAUGUAUUUUUACGACAAUCCAAGGUACAUUCAUGGCUAUUUUGUUUGUUGCAAUUCAUUUUUGAAAAAUGUACUCUAAGAUUGUAUUGUAUUUUCCCGAAAAAUGGAUUAAAAGCGAGAAAAUCUUAA
Exaiptasia diaphana is the source of this 1181-nucleotide long non-coding RNA. RefSeq lists it as uncharacterized. The record is from RefSeq and is a predicted model, not a curated record. The transcript is spliced from 2 exons. Lineage: Eukaryota; Metazoa; Cnidaria; Anthozoa; Actiniaria; Aiptasiidae.